CCCUUAGAUGUUCUGGGCCGCACGCGUGCUACACUGACCGACGCAACAAGUUUCUUUCCUUGGCUCGAUAGGCCUGGGUAAUCUUUGAACGCCGGUCGUGAUGGGGAUAGAUCCUUGCAAUUUUUGAUCUUCAACGAGGAAUUCCUAGUAAAUGCGAGUCAUCAUCUCGCGUUGAUUACGUCCCUGCCCUUUGUACACACCGCCCGUCGCACCUACCGAUUGAAUGGUCCGGUGAAGCCUCGGGAUUGCGAAUGCUUCGUGCGGACGCGAGAACUUGGCUAAACCUUACCAUUUAGAGGAAGGUGAAGUCGUAACA
This 316-nucleotide ribosomal RNA is filed under the name uncultured eukaryote. RNAcentral describes it as "partial 18S ribosomal RNA". It matches the Rfam family "Eukaryotic small subunit ribosomal RNA", at positions 1470 to 1796 of the family's 1831-position model. The record is from RNAcentral.